CCUCUUCCUCGUGGAAGGGUAGUGUUUAUUAGAUACAGAACCAACCCACCUUCGGGUGGUCCYCAGGUGAUUCAUAGUAACCGAACGGAUCGCAUUAUGGCCUUUUGGUCGGCGAUGGAUCAUUCAAGUUUCUGACCUAUCAGCUUUCGACGGUACUGUAUUGGACUACCGUGGCAGUGACGGGUAACGGGGAAUUAGGGUUCGAUUCCGGAGAGGGAGCCUGAGAAACGGCUACCACAUCUAAGGAAGGCAGCAGGCGCGCAAAUUACCCAAUCCUGACUCAGGGAGGUAGUGACAAGAAAUAACAACACUGGAAAUUAUAUUUCUAGUGAUUGGAAUGAUGGGAAUCCAAACCCCUUUCAGAGUAACAAUUGGAGGGCAAGUCUGGUGCCAGCAGCCGCGGUAAUUCCAGCUCCAAUAGCGUAUAUUAAAGUUGUUGCAGUUAAAAAGCUCGUAGUUGGAUAUCUGCUGGGAGCAGCCAGUCCGCCUUAACGGGUGUGCACUUGGUGAAUUCUGGCAUCCUCCUGAUUGGUGUCAUCAUCACUUCAUUGUGUUGGUGGCAGCUGUCAGGACUGUUACUUUGAGAAAAUUAGAGUGUUUCAAGCAGGCUUGUUGCCUUGAAUACUGCAGCAUGGAAUAACAAGAUAGGAUUUCGGUUCUAUUUUGUUGGUUUCUAGGACUGAAGUAAUGAUUAAUAGGGACAGUUGGGGGCAUUCGUAUUUAACUGUCAGAGG
Molecule: ribosomal RNA, 734 nt
Filed under: Sarcocystis sp. ex Martes pennanti RG-2011
Lineage: Eukaryota; Apicomplexa; Conoidasida; Eucoccidiorida; Sarcocystidae
Description: SSU rRNA
Rfam family: Eukaryotic small subunit ribosomal RNA
Source: RNAcentral